CCUACGGGGGGCUGCAGUGGGGAAUAUUGCACAAUGGACGAAAGUCUGAUGCAGCAACGCCGCGUGGAGGAUGACACAUUUCGGUGCGUAAACUCCUUUUAUAUAGGAAGAUAAUGACGGUACUAUAUGAAUAAGCACCGGCUAACUCCGUGCCAGCAGCCGCGGUAAUACGGAGGGUGCAAGCGUUACUCGGAAUCACUGGGCGUAAAGAGCGUGUAGGCGGGUAUAUAAGUCAGAAGUGAAAUCCAAUAGCUCAACUAUUGAACUGCUUUUGAAACUGUAUACCUAGAAUGUGGGAGAGGUAGAUGGAAUUUCUGGUGUAGGGGUAAAAUCCGUAGAGAUCAGAAGGAAUACCGAUUGCGAAGGCGAUCUACUGGAACAUUAUUGACGCUGAGACGCGAAAGCGUGGGGAGCAAACAGGAUUAGAUACCCCAGUAGUC
RNAcentral lists this ribosomal RNA (440 nucleotides) under uncultured Arcobacter sp. RNAcentral describes it as "bacterial SSU rRNA". It matches the Rfam family "Bacterial small subunit ribosomal RNA", at positions 338 to 795 of the family's 1533-position model. Lineage: Bacteria; Pseudomonadati; Campylobacterota; Epsilonproteobacteria; Campylobacterales; Arcobacteraceae. The record is from RNAcentral.